GAUGAACGCUGGCGGCGUGCCUAAUACAUGCAAGUCGAGCGAACAGACGAGGAGCUUGCUCCUCUGACGUUAGCGGCGGACGGGUGAGUAACACGUGGAUAACCUACCUAUAGACUGGGAUAACUUCGGGAAACCGGAGCUAAUACCGGAUAACAUGUUGAACCGCAUGGUUCAACAGUGAAAGACGGUCUUGCUGUCACUUAUAGAUGGAUCCGCGCCGCAUUAGCUAGUUGGUAAGGUAACGGCUUACCAAGGCAACGAUGCGUAGCCGACCUGAGAGGGUGAUCGGCCACACUGGAACUGAGACACGGUCCAGACUCCUACGGGAGGCAGCAGUAGGGAAUCUUCCGCAAUGGGCGAAAGCCUGACGGAGCAACGCCGCGUGAGUGAAGAAGGUCUUCGGAUCGUAAAACUCUGUUAUUAGGGAAGAACAAAUGUGUAAGUAACUAUGCACGUCUUGACGGUACCUAAUCAGAAAGCCACGGCUAACUACGUG
Molecule: ribosomal RNA, 496 nt
Filed under: uncultured bacterium
Lineage: Bacteria
Description: partial 16S ribosomal RNA
Rfam family: Bacterial small subunit ribosomal RNA
Source: RNAcentral